GUGUAAGUCAAGGAGCACUGUGCCAAAAUUGGAACAAUAUAAAGAAGAUUAGCAUGGCCCCUGGACAAGGAUGACACAUAAAUUUGUAAAGCAUUCUAUAUGUUU
Small nuclear RNA from Prolemur simus (greater bamboo lemur), 105 nucleotides. NCBI's taxonomy places the organism in Eukaryota, Metazoa, Chordata, Mammalia, Primates, Lemuridae. The record is from Ensembl.